GCGGGCGUAGCUCAGCUGGUAGAGCACCACCUUGCCAAGGUGGACGUCGCGAGUUCGAAUCUCGUCGCCCGCUCCA
Molecule: transfer RNA, 76 nt
Filed under: Verrucomicrobiia bacterium
Lineage: Bacteria; Pseudomonadati; Verrucomicrobiota; Verrucomicrobiia
Description: tRNA-Gly
Rfam family: tRNA
About the family: Transfer RNA (tRNA) molecules are approximately 80 nucleotides in length. Their secondary structure includes four short double-helical elements and three loops (D, anti-codon, and T loops).
Source: RNAcentral